Molecule: long non-coding RNA, 1283 nt
Organism: Quercus robur (English oak)
Lineage: Eukaryota; Viridiplantae; Streptophyta; Magnoliopsida; Fagales; Fagaceae
Exons: 3
Source: RefSeq, a predicted model, not a curated record
GGAAACCCAUACUCAUGCUCUCUCUCUUUUUAUUUUUCCAACUUCCCUUUUAGUUUUCUUUAUUUUUCAGCUCAUGCUAAUAAGAAAAAUCAGGCUCUUUCAAAUUCUCAUUAUCUAUUUGACCUACUUUGGGCCUAUAAAUGGGCUAACUCUUAUUAGAUGUGCUACAAUGCAAAUGGCCCAGGCCCAUAUUUGAAAAAUAUGAACCAGUGGCCAGGUCACUAUUCACUACUCUAAAAGCAGAGCUUCCUGACCUGAGAUAAUUGAGGAAAUGGUGCUGUGCUUUCCUUCAACACCCAAGAAAUUGUUGAUGACUGUGGCAUGCUUUGUCUCUGGUGCUGCUCUAUUUGCUGCUGGUGUGCAUCUCUCUUAUGUCAACAUUGCCCCUCAACAAGCUCGAACUAAAGCUCGGAAUGAUUUCGUCAAGGAAAGAUUGAGAAAGAAGUACGGGAAAUGAAGAGUUCAGCACACUGCUCUAAGUACACUUGUCUAAUUUAUCUUUCCCUGUCCUCUCUAUGCUUAUCUUUUGGGUUAGGUUUAAAUUUUUUGUGCUGGCACUUUGAUCACAGUAUUGCUCUAUGAAUUGACCAUGGUUGUAAUGCUGUGAAUGUGAAGCAAUGAUUUUGAUGGCUCUCACCAAACAUGAUGUAUUCUCUUCUUAUGUAAAAAUAAUUCAGUAGUGGAUAUUCUUGUUAGUUGCCUGGGUAGCUAUGUAUAAUGAACAGAGUUCCUUGAGUGACAGUUGUCCUUGUUUGCAAUAAUGAUAUAUUAAAUUUGCAAUAAAAGAUUAGAUAAUUUCUUGUCUCCAAUUAACAACUGAAUACAAUUAGCAGGCUUGGGCCGUUGCUUAUAUUUUUAUCAUUUAGAUUCUGAUUUGAGAUAAAGAGGAAGGAGAUAUUCAUUAAGGAGCUUACAAACCAGCUGAAACUUUGUUGUAUGAUCAAUCUGUUUUACUAGGACUUGAAGAAGAGACCAUCCGUGAAUUAAUGUGGCAAGAUCAUCAGUAUACAGGUGGGUGGAAUUAAAACAACAGAUGGAAUUGCAAAAGGAGAUUGCCUCAAUUUGCCUGGACAAAAUACCCUCUGCCUAAUUAUUGCCUUUUCUACAAGGAAGAGUAAAGCCCUUAGUGUAACUUGGGCCGACUUGGAAUUUGGGCUGGCUAAAGAUACUUCUCUUUGUUAAGUCAAUCACUACAAACUUUUAUAGAUUCAAAUUCUCAUAGUAAUCUUGAUUUUAGGAAAAAAUACAUACCUUGACCAAUGAAAUUAAUUGGUUUUAAACUU